CCUACGGGGGGCAGCAGUGGGGGAUAUUGCACAAUGGGGGGAACCCUGAUGCAGCGACGCCGCGUGGGUGAAGAAGCGCCUCGGCGCGUAAAGCCCUGUCAGCAGGGAAGAAAAUGACGGUACCUGAAGAAGAAGCCCCGGCUAACUCCGUGCCAGCAGCCGCGGGAAUACGUAGGGGGCAAGCGUUAUCCGGAUUUACUGGGUGUAAAGGGGGCGCAGACGGGGAUGCAAGCCAGGAGUGAAAGCCCGGGGCCCAACCCCGGGACUGCUCUUGGAACUGCGUGGCUGGAGUGCAGGAGGGGCAGGCGGAAUUCGUGGUGUAGCGGUGAAAUGCGUAGAUAUCAGGAGGAACACCGGUGGCGAAGGCGGCCUGCUGGACUGCAACUGACGUUGAGGCCCGAAAGCGUGGGGAGCAAACAGGAUUAGAUACCCGUGUAGUC
This 440-nucleotide ribosomal RNA is filed under the name uncultured bacterium. RNAcentral describes it as "partial 16S ribosomal RNA". It matches the Rfam family "Bacterial small subunit ribosomal RNA", at positions 338 to 795 of the family's 1533-position model. The record is from RNAcentral.